This 102-nucleotide transfer-messenger RNA is filed under the name Rhodoblastus sp. RNAcentral describes it as "partial transfer-messenger RNA". It matches the Rfam family "Alphaproteobacteria transfer-messenger RNA", at positions 1 to 100 of the family's 355-position model. From Rfam's summary of the family: Bacterial tmRNA, also known as 10Sa RNA or SsrA, is named for its dual tRNA and mRNA-like properties. Lineage: Bacteria; Pseudomonadati; Pseudomonadota; Alphaproteobacteria; Hyphomicrobiales; Rhodoblastaceae. The record is from RNAcentral.
GCCCUUUCGCUUCGACGCGGAGCGCACUAUAUUCGGUCCGUCUUCGCAAGAAGACUAUGGCGAUAAACAGGCUUCGAAAUAAACCAUCCGGACCCGGGGGCG